RNAcentral lists this ribosomal RNA (1550 nucleotides) under Neisseria gonorrhoeae. RNAcentral describes it as "bacterial SSU rRNA". It matches the Rfam family "Bacterial small subunit ribosomal RNA". Lineage: Bacteria; Pseudomonadati; Pseudomonadota; Betaproteobacteria; Neisseriales; Neisseriaceae. The record is from RNAcentral.
AGAGAUUGAACAUAAGAGUUUGAUCCUGGCUCAGAUUGAACGCUGGCGGCAUGCUUUACACAUGCAAGUCGGACGGCAGCACAGGGAAGCUUGCUUCUCGGGUGGCGAGUGGCGAACGGGUGAGUAACAUAUCGGAACGUACCGGGUAGCGGGGGAUAACUGAUCGAAAGAUCAGCUAAUACCGCAUACGUCUUGAGAGGGAAAGCAGGGGACCUUCGGGCCUUGCGCUAUCCGAGCGGCCGAUAUCUGAUUAGCUGGUUGGCGGGGUAAAGGCCCACCAAGGCGACGAUCAGUAGCGGGUCUGAGAGGAUGAUCCGCCACACUGGGACUGAGACACGGCCCAGACUCCUACGGGAGGCAGCAGUGGGGAAUUUUGGACAAUGGGCGCAAGCCUGAUCCAGCCAUGCCGCGUGUCUGAAGAAGGCCUUCGGGUUGUAAAGGACUUUUGUCAGGGAAGAAAAGGCCGUUGCCAAUAUCGGCGGCCGAUGACGGUACCUGAAGAAUAAGCACCGGCUAACUACGUGCCAGCAGCCGCGGUAAUACGUAGGGUGCGAGCGUUAAUCGGAAUUACUGGGCGUAAAGCGGGCGCAGACGGUUACUUAAGCAGGAUGUGAAAUCCCCGGGCUCAACCCGGGAACUGCGUUCUGAACUGGGUGACUCGAGUGUGUCAGAGGGAGGUGGAAUUCCACGUGUAGCAGUGAAAUGCGUAGAGAUGUGGAGGAAUACCGAUGGCGAAGGCAGCCUCCUGGGAUAACACUGACGUUCAUGUCCGAAAGCGUGGGUAGCAAACAGGAUUAGAUACCCUGGUAGUCCACGCCCUAAACGAUGUCAAUUAGCUGUUGGGCAACUUGAUUGCUUGGUAGCGUAGCUAACGCGUGAAAUUGACCGCCUGGGGAGUACGGUCGCAAGAUUAAAACUCAAAGGAAUUGACGGGGACCCGCACAAGCGGUGGAUGAUGUGGAUUAAUUCGAUGCAACGCGAAGAACCUUACCUGGUUUUGACAUGUGCGGAAUCCUCCGGAGACGGAGGAGUGCCUUCGGGAGCCGUAACACAGGUGCUGCAUGGCUGUCGUCAGCUCGUGUCGUGAGAUGUUGGGUUAAGUCCCGCAACGAGCGCAACCCUUGUCAUUAGUUGCCAUCAUUCGGUUGGGCACUCUAAUGAGACUGCCGGUGACAAGCCGGAGGAAGGUGGGGAUGACGUCAAGUCCUCAUGGCCCUUAUGACCAGGGCUUCACACGUCAUACAAUGGUCGGUACAGAGGGUAGCCAAGCCGCGAGGCGGAGCCAAUCUCACAAAACCGAUCGUAGUCCGGAUUGCACUCUGCAACUCGAGUGCAUGAAGUCGGAAUCGCUAGUAAUCGCAGGUCAGCAUACUGCGGUGAAUACGUUCCCGGGUCUUGUACACACCGCCCGUCACACCAUGGGAGUGGGGGAUACCAGAAGUAGGUAGGGUAACCGCAAGGAGCCCGCUUACCACGGUAUGCUUCAUGACUGGGGUGAAGUCGUAACAAGGUAGCCGUAGGGGAACCUGCGGCUGGAUCACCUCCUUUCU